RNAcentral lists this ribosomal RNA (427 nucleotides) under uncultured bacterium. Its description in RNAcentral is "partial 16S ribosomal RNA". It matches the Rfam family "Bacterial small subunit ribosomal RNA", at positions 355 to 774 of the family's 1533-position model. The record is from RNAcentral.
UGGGGAAUAUUGCACAAUGGGCGCAAGCCUGAUGCAGCCAUGCCGCGUGUAUGAAGAAGGCCUUCGGGUUGUAAAGUACUUUCAGCGGGGAGGAAGGUGUUGAGGCUAAUAACCUCAGCAAUUGACGUUACCCGCAGAAGAAGCACCGGCUAACUCCGUGCCAGCAGCCGCGGUAAUACGGAGGGUGCAAGCGUUAAUCGGAAUUACUGGGCGUAAAGCGCACGCAGGCGGUGUGUCAAGUCGGAUGUGAAAUCCCCGGGCUCAACCUGGGAACUGCAUUCGAAACUGGCAGGCUAGAGUCUUGUAGAGGGGGGUAGAAUUCCAGGUGUAGCGGUGAAAUGCGUAGAGAUCUGGAGGAAUACCGGUGGCGAAGGCGGCCCCCUGGACAAAGACUGACGCUCAGGUGCGAAAGCGUGGGGAGCAAACA